UACGUAGGGUGCAAGCGUUAAUCGGAAUUACUGGGCGUAAAGCGUGCGCAGGCGGCUUUGCAAGACAGAUGUGAAAUCCCCGGGCUUAACCUGGGAACUGCAUUUGUGACUGCAUGGCUGGAGUGCGGCAGAGGGGGAUGGAAUUCCGCGUGUAGCAGUGAAACGCGUAGAUAUGCGGAGGAACACCGAUGGCGAAGGCAAUCCCCUGGGCCUGCACUGACGCUCAUGCACGAAAGCGUGGGGAGCAAACAGG
This 253-nucleotide ribosomal RNA is filed under the name uncultured bacterium. RNAcentral's name for it is "partial 16S ribosomal RNA". It matches the Rfam family "Bacterial small subunit ribosomal RNA", at positions 524 to 776 of the family's 1533-position model. The record is from RNAcentral.